Long non-coding RNA from Cloeon dipterum, 687 nucleotides. RefSeq lists it as uncharacterized. NCBI's taxonomy places the organism in Eukaryota, Metazoa, Arthropoda, Insecta, Ephemeroptera, Baetidae. The transcript has 3 exons. The record is from RefSeq and is a predicted model, not a curated record.
AUUAAGGAUGCGCCUCACUUCCGGCGGAUAGGUGACGGGCCCGAGUACUGCCUGGAGAUCCUGUGCGCCAAACUCGACUUCACCGGCGCCUAUUCGGUCAUCGCCAAGAACUGUUAUGGCGAGGCCAAGGCCGUGAUCUCGCUGCAGAUCACCGCCAAGGAUUAAGGAGCUGUGUCAGAAGGACAAACUCCUGGAGCACCAGCGGAAGAUGAUCGUCGAGAUCCAGAUAAAGCUAGAGGAAAAGCAGAGGGAGCCGGAGGAGCUGCGGCAGUCGCUGGACACGCGGCACUCGGCCGUGGACAGGCUGGAGGUGCACGCAAGCAGCAGCUGCAGCAGCGGCUCCUCUAGGCCGACGAGAAGCUGGAAAAGUCGGUCAAGGUGGUACAGACGCCGGUGUCGCGCAACCAAGAGCUGGCGGCGCGCGCGGACCAAAUCAGCGCGAUACAGCACGACGAGACGUAGCACCUGUGGCGCGAACUGGACGAACGCCGGCGCCAGGUGGAAUAGCCGAGCCGCGAGAAGGCGGUCCUGGAGGCGAGGAGGGAGCUGCUGCCCCCGGAGGUUGGCUUCGUGCUGGCACGCCUCGACGAGCUGGCCGCCCUGCUGCGCCGGCCGCACCUGCUCGCCAGCUUUUCGGUUGCCAACCGCUGCUCCCUCCUCCAUCUGCUCGACCAGAGCCGCUCCCUU